UGGGGAAUCUUGCACAAUGGGGGAAACCCUGAUGCAGCGACGCCGCGUGAGCGAUGAAGGAUUUCGGAUCGUAAAGCUCUGUCCUAUGGGAAGAUAAUGACGGUACCAUAGGAGGAAGCCCCGGCUAACUACGUGCCAGCAGCCGCGGUAAUACGUAGGGGUCGAGCGUUGUCCGGAAUUACUGGGCGUAAAGGGUUCGCAGGCGGCAUGAAAAGUCCGAUGUAAAAGGCGAAAGCUCAACUUUCGUAAGCAUCGGAAACUGUCAAGCUUGAGUGAAGGAGAGGCAAGUGGAAUUCCUAGUGUAGCGGUGGAAUGAGUAGAUAUUAGGAGGAAUACCGGUGGCGAAGGCGACUUGCUGGACUUCAACUGACGCUGAGGAACGAAAGCGUGGGUAGCAAACAGG
This 403-nucleotide ribosomal RNA is filed under the name bacterium. RNAcentral's name for it is "partial 16S ribosomal RNA". It matches the Rfam family "Bacterial small subunit ribosomal RNA", at positions 355 to 776 of the family's 1533-position model. The record is from RNAcentral.